ACUCUUUGGGAACUGAUAUCUUGGCUUUCGCAUCAAUAAAGAACAUAACACAAUGCGAUAUUUUGUGUGAAUUGCGGAUCAAAUGAAUCAUCGAGUCUUUAAACGCAAGUUAGCGAAGACAUUAGACCGAGGGCAUGUAUGUCUGGGCGUCA
RNAcentral lists this ribosomal RNA (152 nucleotides) under Nicotiana attenuata. Its description in RNAcentral is "rRNA 5_8S_rRNA". It matches the Rfam family "5.8S ribosomal RNA". Rfam says of the family: 5.8S ribosomal RNA (5.8S rRNA) is a component of the large subunit of the eukaryotic ribosome. It is transcribed by RNA polymerase I as part of the 45S precursor that also contains 18S and 28S rRNA. Functionally, it is thought that 5.8S rRNA may be involved in ribosome translocation. Lineage: Eukaryota; Viridiplantae; Streptophyta; Magnoliopsida; Solanales; Solanaceae. The record is from Rfam by way of RNAcentral.